AAGGGUAUAGCUCAGGUGGUAGAGUACAUGCUUAGUAUACACGAGGUCCUGGGUUCAAUCCCCAGUACUUUCU
Transfer RNA from Camelus ferus (Wild Bactrian camel), 73 nucleotides. It matches the Rfam family "tRNA". From Rfam's summary of the family: Transfer RNA (tRNA) molecules are approximately 80 nucleotides in length. Their secondary structure includes four short double-helical elements and three loops (D, anti-codon, and T loops). The record is from Rfam. NCBI's taxonomy places the organism in Eukaryota, Metazoa, Chordata, Mammalia, Artiodactyla, Camelidae.